AGGUGAGGUAGAGGUGCGGAUGGUCAAGAGUAACCGGGCAAAAACCCCGCAGGUUAAUGCUGCCCGGUGAAAGGGGCCUUCGCCGAAAUCCCUUACGGUAGCGGACGUAAGGGGUUGGGCCUAUGCCGAACAGGUAUAGGACUGUCACCCGUUUUAGCGGGUGGAGCGCUACCUUGCUG
RNAcentral lists this non-coding RNA (179 nucleotides) under Carboxydothermus hydrogenoformans. RNAcentral describes it as "Lysine sequence". It matches the Rfam family "Lysine riboswitch aptamer". Rfam says of the family: Riboswitches are metabolite binding domains within certain messenger RNAs that serve as precision sensors for their corresponding targets. The record is from RNAcentral. RNAcentral also lists the same sequence under 1 other name. Lineage: Bacteria; Bacillati; Bacillota; Clostridia; Thermoanaerobacterales; Thermoanaerobacteraceae.